Molecule: ribosomal RNA, 254 nt
Filed under: uncultured bacterium
Lineage: Bacteria
Description: partial 16S ribosomal RNA
Rfam family: Bacterial small subunit ribosomal RNA
Source: RNAcentral
UACGUAGGUGGCAAGCGUUGUCCGGAAUCAUUGGGCGUAAAGCGCGCGCAGGUGGUUCCUUAAGUCUGAUGUGAAAGCCCACGGCUCAACCGUGGAGGGUCAUUGGAAACUGGGGAACUUGAGUGCAGAAGAGGAAAGUGGAAUUCCACGUGUAGCGGUGAAAUGCGUAGAGAUGUGGAGGAACACCAGUGGCGAAGGCGACUUUCUGGUCUGUAACUGACACUGAGGCGCGAAAAGCGUGGGGAGCAAACAGG